GCGCGAGUGGCUCAGUGGUAGAGCAUCGCCUUGCCAAGGCGAGGGUCGCGGGUUCAAAUCCCGUCUCGCGCU
Molecule: transfer RNA, 72 nt
Filed under: Firmicutes bacterium HGW-Firmicutes-7
Lineage: Bacteria; Bacillati; Bacillota
Description: tRNA-Gly
Rfam family: tRNA
About the family: Transfer RNA (tRNA) molecules are approximately 80 nucleotides in length.
Source: RNAcentral